GAUGAACGCUGGCGGCGUGCCUAAUACAUGCAAGUCGAGCGAACAGACGAGGAGCUUGCUCCUCUGACGUUAGCGGCGGACGGGUGAGUAACACGUGGAUAACCUACCUAUAAGACUGGGAUAACUUCGGGAAACCGGAGCUAAUACCGGAUAAUAUAUUGAACCGCAUGGUUCAAUAGUGAAAGACGGUUUUGCUGUCACUUAUAGAUGGAUCCGCGCCGCAUUAGCUAGUUGGUAAGGUAACGGCUUACCAGGCAACGAUGCGUAGCCGACCUGAGAAGGGUGAUCGGCCACACUGGAACUGAGACACGGUCCAGACUCCUACGGGAGGCAGCAGUAGGGAAUCUUCCGCAAUGGGCGAAAGCCUGACGGAGCAACGCCGCGUGAGUGAUGAAGGUCUUCGGAUCGUAAAACCCUGUUAUUAGGGAAGAACAAAUGUGUAAGUAACUAUGCACGUCUUGACGGUACCUAAUCAGAAAGCCACGGCUAACUACGUG
RNAcentral lists this ribosomal RNA (497 nucleotides) under uncultured bacterium. RNAcentral's name for it is "partial 16S ribosomal RNA". It matches the Rfam family "Bacterial small subunit ribosomal RNA", at positions 28 to 507 of the family's 1533-position model. The record is from RNAcentral.